GCAGUAUCUAACCGGCAGAAGAUGAGCACAGAUGUGGAUCAUUAGCUACAUUGAGGUGACAGUACUGGGCAUGAUGGAACAAUAUUGCUAACAGCUUGAUGCUUGUAGCUUCCUCCAGGGCUGGGAGCUGUGUCCCGACGAUCUUCUGUGCGCUAGAGCCGACCUGCUGACGUGCUUUCCUAUCAGCAUCUGUACAACUGAGAUACCACCCAGAGACGCAGUAUGUUAAGAUGCUCUCUAUGGUGCAGAGGUAAAAGGUCACCAGCAUCUGUUCAGAUGCAAGUGGUUUAUUAUUACCAUAGCACCGAGUUGGCAGGCGCUCAAGAAAAACCCCCGAUAAGUAUCCUUGCAAUGCAGGAGCACAUCAGCAAAAGGUUGCUUGUCCGGCUGUGUCCUUAUCACUGGCAUCUUUCCAGGGGCUCAUUUGUCCAUGGAAAUUUUGGGAUUGAAAUCAUUUAAGAGGAGCAGUUUGUCAUGCGUCAUGGAUUGUUCAAGAAUGUAGUAGAAUUCCUUUACGGCCUUGCCCACUGCUUCCAACGUAGCCAAGUAUGUAUUGUUGUCUUUGGCAUGCCAAUUUAACAAUAAAGUGAGCCAGAGGAUCAUGAGACAUCUAUUUAUUCUUCAAAGGAGUCACUGAGAUGCAAAACUAGAUCAUUCUUUAUGGCAAGACAAUCCAAAAACAGCAAUGUUCUUCUUUCAUCUUGACUUUCCAGCAGAGUGCAUCCACCCACCGUUUUGGUUGCAGUGGCCUUCUCCCGCCCACUACUGUCGCUCGGGGCAACAAUGAGGACUGAUGUUCAGUACUGCCACUGUUGGGUGUUGUCUAUAAUUCUGCUCUUCAUUCUGAAGAGCAAGAUGCCCGUGAAUGGUUUCUUUUUAUGUAAAGUGGUGUUGGAGUGGGCUGUAAAACUGUUAAUUUUCUUGUCGUGUAGCUUUCUUAUCCUUGUUUGUAUUUUUAUAUAAUCACACGUAAUUGUUCAGAGAUUUUCAGUGGUUAUGGUUGCCUCCGCAUUUUCCUGGAAAUGUUGGUUUCAGUCGGUGUUACGUUGCUUGAUUCUGGCUAUUUCGCUUAUUAAUAUUAUCAAU
Molecule: long non-coding RNA, 1086 nt
Organism: Hypanus sabinus (Atlantic stingray)
Lineage: Eukaryota; Metazoa; Chordata; Chondrichthyes; Myliobatiformes; Dasyatidae
Exons: 4
Source: RefSeq, a predicted model, not a curated record